GAUAAACGCUGGCGGCGUGCCUAACACAUGCAAGUCGCACGUCCUCCGUUUCGGCGGAGGGAGUGGCGGACGGGUGAGUAGUACAUGGGUACCUGCCCCGAAGUGAGGAAUACCACCGAGAAAUCGGUGACAAUACCGCAUACGCUUCUUUCGGGAAGCAAAGCCGCAAGGCGCUUCGGGAUGGGCCUCUGGCCGAUUAGCUAGCUGGUGGGGUAAUGGCCUACCAGGGCGACGAUCGGUAGCUGGUCUGAGAGGAUGAUCAGCCACACUGGGAUUG
RNAcentral lists this ribosomal RNA (277 nucleotides) under uncultured bacterium. RNAcentral describes it as "partial 16S ribosomal RNA". It matches the Rfam family "Bacterial small subunit ribosomal RNA", at positions 28 to 321 of the family's 1533-position model. The record is from RNAcentral.